This 3591-nucleotide long non-coding RNA is filed under the name Salmo salar (Atlantic salmon). RNAcentral's name for it is "lncRNA (ENSSSAG00000096445.1)". The record is from RNAcentral. Lineage: Eukaryota; Metazoa; Chordata; Actinopteri; Salmoniformes; Salmonidae.
GUCAAUCUCUCCUCCACUUUGAGCCAGGAGAGAUUGACAUGCGUAUUAUUAAUGUUAACUCUAUGUGUGCUGCCCUGUUCUGGGCCAGUUUAAAUUGUCCCUCUUUAUGGCACCUGACCACACAACUGAGCAGUAGUCCAGGUGCGACAAAACUAGGGCCUGUAGGACAGGCCUGGUUGAUAAUGCUGUUAAGGCAGAGUAGCUCUUUAUUAUGGACAGACUUCUCCCCAGCUUAGUUACUGUUGUAUCAAUACGUUUUGACCAUGGCAGUUUACAAUCUAGGGUUACUCCAAGCAGUUUAGUUACCUCAACUUGUUCAAUUUCCACAAUAUUCAUUACAAUAUUUAGUUGAGGUUUAGAGUGUAGUGAAUGAUUUGUACCAAAUACAAUGCUUUUCGUUUUUUUUUAAAUAUUUAGGACUAACUUAUUCUUUGCCAGCUGUUCUGAAACUAACUGCAGCUCUUUGUUAAGGGCUAGGGUUGCUUUCCAGAGAGACAUCCGGGAUUGUAACAUACUCUGUUUCACGGAAACACAGCUCUCUGGGGACAUGCUGUCGCAGUCGAUACAGCCACCGGGAUUCUUUGUGCGUCGCACCGACAGGAAUAAACAUCUCUCAGGGAAGAGAGAGGGGGUAUAUGUUUAAUGAUUAACAACUCAUGGUGUAAUUGUAACAACAUACAGGACCUCAAGUCUUUCUGUUCACCGGACCUAGAAUUCCUCACAAUCAAAUGCCGUCCGUAUUAUCUCCUAAGAGAAUUCUCGUCGGUUAUUGUCACUGCGGUAUAUAUCCCCCCCCCAAGCCGACACCACGACGGCCCUCAAGGAACUCCGCUGGACUAUAUGCAAACUGGAAAGCAUACAUCCGGAGGCUGCAUUUAAUGUAGCUGGGGAUUUUAGCAAAGCAAGUUUGAGAACAAGGCUAUCUAAAUUCUAUCAGCAUGUUGAUUGUAGUACACGGGCUGGCAAACACUGGCUCACUGCUACUCUAACUUCCGCGAUGCAUACAAGGCCCUCCCCCACCCUCCAUUCAUCAAAUCUGACCACGACUCCAUUUUGCUUCUCCACUCUUAUAGGCUGAAACUCAAACAGGAUGUACCCAUGACAAGGACCAUUCAACGCUGGUCUGACCAAUCGGAAUCCAAGCUUCAAGAUUGUUUUGAUCACGCGGACUGGGACAUGUUGCGCGUAGCCUCAGAGAAUAGUAUUGAUUUACACGCUGAUUCAGUGAGUGAGUUUAUAAGGAAGUGCAUAGGAGAUGUUGUUCCUAUUCUGACUAUUGAAACCUACCCUAACCAGAAAUCAUGGAUAUAUGAUUGAAAGCGCGAACCAGGAAUAUGGCCAGGAAUAUGGCCGAGUACAAACAGUGUAGUUAUUCCCUCCGUAAGGCAAUCAAACAGGCUAAACAUCAGUACAGAGACAAAGUGGAGUCACAAUUCAACGGCUCAGACACGAGACAUAUGUGGCAGGGUCUACAGACAAUCACGGAUUACAAAAAGAAAACCAGCCACAUCAUGGACACUGACGUCUUGCUUCCAGACAAACUAAACACCUUCUUUGCCCGCUUUGGGGAUAAUACAGUGCCACCGAUGUGGCCCGCUAUCAAGGACUGCGGGCCCCCCCUCUCCUUCUCUGUGGCUGACGUGAGUAAAACAUUUAAACAUGGUAACCCUCACAAUGCUGCCGGCCAAGACAGCAUCCCUAGCCUCGUCAUCAGAGCAUGCGCAGACCAGCUGGCUGGUGUGUUUACGGACAUAUUCAAUUUCUCCCUAUCCCAGCCUGCUGUCCCCACUUGCUUCAAGAUGGCCACCAUUGUUCCUGUAUCCAAGAAUGCAAAGGUACACAGACGACACAAUCGCCAUCACACUGCACACUGCCCCAUCUGGGCAAGAGGAAUACCUAUGUAAGAAUGCUGUUCAUCGACUACAGCUCAGCAUUCAACACCAUAGUACCCUCCAAACUCAUCAUUAAGCUUGAGGUCCUGGGUCUCAACCCCACUCUGUGCCACUGGGUCCUGGACUUCCUGACGGGCCGCCCCCCCAGGUGGUGAAGGUAGGAAACAACAUCUCCACUUCGCUGAUCCUCAAAACCCACAAGGGUUCAUUCUCAGCCGCCUCCUGUACUCCAUGUUCACCCAUGACUGCGUGGUCACGCACGCCUCCAACUCGAUCAUCAAGUUUGCAGACGACACUACAGUGGUGGGCUUGAUUACCAACAACGAUGAGACGGCCUACAGGGAGGAGGUGAGGGCCCUCGGAGUGUGGUGUCAGGAAAACAACCUCUCACUCAACGUCAACAAAAUAAAGGAGAUGAUCGUGGACAUCAGGAAACAGCAGAGGGAGCAGCCCCCUGUCCACAUCAACGGGACAGCAGUGGAGAAGGUGGAACGUUUUAAGUUCCUUGGUGAACACAUCACGGCGUCAUUUCAGUUGCUGUAGUAGCUGAUGUGUACAGUUAUAGAACCCAUUGCCCUUUAUGGUUGUGAGGUCUGGGGUCCGCUCACCAACCAAGAAUUCACAACAUGGGACAAAUACCAAAUUGAGACUCUGCAUGCAGAAUUCUGCAAAAAUAUAUCCUCCUUCUACAACGUAAAACACCAAAUAAUGCAGAGCAGAAUUAGGCCGAAAAAAUCCAGAAAAGAGACGUUAAAUUCUACAACCACCUAAAAGGAAGUGACUCCCAAACCUUCCACAUCAAAGCCAUCACCUACAGAGAGAUGAACCUGGAGAAGAGUCCCCUAAGCAAGCUGGUCCUGGGGCUCUGUUCACAAACACAAACAGACCCCACAGAGCCCCAGGACAGCAAUAGAAUCAGAUCCAACCAAAUCAUGAGAAAACAAAAAGAUAAUUAUUGGAAAGAAUUAACGAAAAAACAGAGCAAACUAGAAUGCUAUUUGGCCCUAAACAGAGAGUACACAGUGGCAGAAUACCUGACCACUGUGACUGACCAAAAAUUAAGGAAAGCUUUGACUAUGUACAGACUCAGUGAGCAUAGCCUUGCUAUUGAGAAAAGCCGCUGUAGGCAGACCUGGCUCUCAAGAGAAGACAGGCUAUGUGCACACUGCCCACAAAAUGUGGUGGAAACUGAGGUGCACUUCCUAACCUCCUGCCCAAUGUAUGACCAUAUUAGAGACACAUAUUUCCCUCAGAUUACACAGACGCACAAAGAAUUCCAAAAUAAAUCAAAUUUUGAUAAACUCCCAUAUCUACUGAGUGAAAUUCCACAGUGUGCCAUCACAGCAGCAAGAUGAGUGACCUGUUGCCACAAUUAAAUGGCAACCAGUGAAGAACAAACACCAUUGUAAAUACAACCUAUAUUUAUGUUUAUUUAUUUUCCUUUUUGUACUUGAACUAUUUGCACAUCGUUACAACACUGUAUAUAGACAUAGUGGAGAAGGUGGAAAGCUUCAAGUUUCUCGGCAUACACAUCACUGACGAUCUGAAAUGGUCCACCCACACACACAGACAGUGUGGAGAAGAAGUUUAAUUCCACUUUAAUAAUGUUUAAAUAAUGUUUACAUACUGCUUUACUCAUGUCAUAUGUAUAUACUGUAUUCUAUUCUACUGACUAACCGGUGUCUGUAUAUAGCCUUGC